UGGGGAAUAUUGGACAAUGGGCGAAAGCCUGAUCCAGCCAUGCCGCGUGUGUGAAGAAGGUCUUCGGAUUGUAAAGCACUUUAAGUUGGGAGGAAGGGCAGUAAGCGAAUACCUUGCUGUUUUGACGUUACCGACAGAAUAAGCACCGGCUAACUCUGUGCCAGCAGCCGCGGUAAUACAGAGGGUGCAAGCGUUAAUCGGAAUUACUGGGCGUAAAGCGCGCGUAGGUGGUUCGUUAAGUUGAAUGUGAAAGCCCCGGGCUCAACCUGGGAACUGCAUCCAAAACUGGCGAGCUAGAGUAGGGCAGAGGGUGGUGGAAUUUCCUGUGUAGCGAUGAAAUGCGUAGAUAUAGGAAGGAACACCAGUGGCGAAGGCGACCACCUGGGCUCAUACUGACACUGAGGUGCGAAAGCGUGGGGAGCAAACAGG
This 429-nucleotide ribosomal RNA is filed under the name Pseudomonadota bacterium. RNAcentral describes it as "Proteobacteria bacterium partial 16S ribosomal RNA". It matches the Rfam family "Bacterial small subunit ribosomal RNA", at positions 355 to 776 of the family's 1533-position model. The record is from RNAcentral. Lineage: Bacteria; Pseudomonadati; Pseudomonadota.